GGACCCGCACAAGUAGUGGAGCAUGUGGUUUAAUUCGAAGAUACGCGCAGAACCUUACCAACACUUGACAUGUUCGUCGCGACUUUAAGAGAUUAAAGUUUUCGGUUCGGCCGGACGAAACACAGGUGCUGCAUGGCUGUCGUCAGCUCGUGUCGUGAGAUGUUGGGUUAAGUCCCGCAACGAGCGCAACCCUCACUUUUAGUUGCCAUCAUUAAGUUGGGCACUCUGAAAGAACUGCCAGUGAUAAGCUGGAGGAAGGUGGGGAUGACGUCAAGUCCUCAUGGCCCCUUACGUGUUGGGCUACACACGUGCUACAAUGGCAUUUACAAUAGGAAGCAAGACGGCGCGUUA
Molecule: ribosomal RNA, 351 nt
Filed under: uncultured bacterium
Lineage: Bacteria
Description: bacterial SSU rRNA
Rfam family: Bacterial small subunit ribosomal RNA
Source: RNAcentral